The sequence is a transfer RNA, 74 nucleotides long. It matches the Rfam family "tRNA". From Rfam's summary of the family: Transfer RNA (tRNA) molecules are approximately 80 nucleotides in length. Their secondary structure includes four short double-helical elements and three loops (D, anti-codon, and T loops).
GCCCCCAUAGUUUAGCUUGGACAGAACGUUGGCUUGCGGAGCCAAUAACCCAGGUUCAAAUCCUGGUGGGGGCG